CUAAUGACUCUCAGCAACGGAUAUCUUGGCUCUUGCAACGAU
Molecule: ribosomal RNA, 42 nt
Filed under: Colura calyptrifolia
Lineage: Eukaryota; Viridiplantae; Streptophyta; Jungermanniopsida; Porellales; Lejeuneaceae
Description: partial 5.8S ribosomal RNA
Source: RNAcentral